CUACUUACCUGGACGGGGUGUUUGAGCGAUCAUGAAGGUCCAUGGCCUGGGUUGGUGACCUCCAUUGCACUGUCGAGGGGUUCUCGCCUAAGGUCUGUCCAAUGAGACAGAACCUACGUCAUAAUUUGUGGCAGUGGGGGCCUGCGUUCGCGCGUCCCCUAU
This is a small nuclear RNA of Cucurbita maxima (winter squash), 162 nucleotides long. RefSeq annotates it as U1 spliceosomal RNA. The record is from RefSeq and is a predicted model, not a curated record. The transcript has a single exon. Lineage: Eukaryota; Viridiplantae; Streptophyta; Magnoliopsida; Cucurbitales; Cucurbitaceae.